AGGGAGCGAACAGUCCAGUGCACUGAAAGAAUUUUGAGACAGACCUUAAAACGGCCAACUCUCUGAACAGUGUCCUGAAUUACUGAACUAGGGAGCUGGAAGUUGAAAGCUUCACAUCACUGAAGGGUCAGGUCAUCUCCAAUAUGGACCAGCGCAAAUGUAGACGAUCUCUGUAUAAAAGUUGCUGGGCUAAAAACAAGCGUGUCCUACUAUGAAGUGAGCGUGAGAGGGAACUCCUCCAACUGGAAACUCUUGUCCAAAAUGUCUCAGCAAGUCGUCAGGACAGUAGAUGUGUGUCUCCAUCAGAAACUUCCUCCCAAGGUCUAUCCGUUGUUGUUGUUAAUGACAUCAGCUCGGAUUCAGAUGUGUCAUUGGACCCCAUCAAUAAUCGUAUCACUUGGGAUGGUAUCAUUGAUGAGCCAGAAGAAAUUAUAUCAUCGUCAUCUGAUGAAGAGAUGGAGGGAGUUAGAGGAUCUCGAUGAACAACUGAAGAAUAUUGAAAAACUUCGCAACUGUUUUCGUGCUUACUUGAAGACAAUGAGGGGGAGCAGCAUUGGAGAGACAGUUCGCUCCAUUCUCCGAAGAAUCGGGGAGAACAGCCUGUGAAGUAUGUUUUUGUUGAAAGGGUCAAAAGGUGGGAAGCUGGCUUUGACUGAUCAUGAAGUGUAUCACCUUGUACACUAUAUUGCCGAACAAGCCCAUGGACGUGAAUAUACUGUUGCCAGUUGCAGAGAGGCCAUCGGCAGCUACCUAAAAAAUGCCCCAGCCGGGAAAGGUGGCAAGAAACAUACCCAGAGCAACGUGGGAUCUCGAGUGCGUCCUACAAGAAUUGGGCGUGAGUCCAGUUCAGAUUCAAUUUUGGAAUCUCAUUCCUCUCCCUCGCGUGACAGCCUCCAAACAGUACAAUUCUAAUGAGCUUGUAUAUACUGAGAAUUCCUUUGGGUUUGAUGUCUGAUUUAAUAAAUUGUUUUCUUUGAUUAGCAAUACAUGGUAUAUCUGGCUGUUUUGUGUUACAAUAUUAAAUGUCAUUUUUCAGCUUUACUUUGUCUGCAUUUACUAAAAUUCAUGCAUAUUUAUUAAAAAUAUUCAGUUUGUUAAACUACAUCAUUGUUGUCUGUCAUUCAUAAGAUUCGUCAUGGGAAUUCCAUGGGCCAGAAUAUAACAUCCACAUUAUUGAAGCAGUUUAAUUACUAAUUUUUUAAAGCAUGCGGUAUGUCAUAUGCUUUAAUUGUAUCUUGCCUCAUAAUGUUGGAAAAUGAGGACGUCCUCUAUAAUUUCUUGAUAAGUACACAAGUACUUGUGUACUUUUCAAGAAAUUAUAGGUACAAAAAGGAUUACACAUAUCUGAUUAGAAAAAAUUGCAUUGUAUGGUGUGUAACUGUAUAAAUAUUUGUGUAGUGUAUUUACACCACAUUAUGAAGUGUAUACAGCCAAUUACAAAAUACUAUAUGCAUGUGUAUCAUUGAGCAUAUAUUGGUAUAUGAAUUAUUAAAAUCUGAUUAAUAUCUUGCAA
This is a long non-coding RNA of Ictalurus punctatus (channel catfish), 1513 nucleotides long. RefSeq lists it as uncharacterized. The transcript is spliced from 5 exons. NCBI's taxonomy places the organism in Eukaryota, Metazoa, Chordata, Actinopteri, Siluriformes, Ictaluridae. The record is from RefSeq and is a predicted model, not a curated record.